This 1203-nucleotide ribosomal RNA is filed under the name Triticum aestivum (bread wheat). Its description in RNAcentral is "partial small subunit ribosomal RNA". The record is from RNAcentral. Lineage: Eukaryota; Viridiplantae; Streptophyta; Magnoliopsida; Poales; Poaceae.
AUGCAAGAGGCAAAGAAAUCAAUGAAAGAAAAAGGUAUUAAAGCUGAAGACGUUAAGAAUUUACCUCCUAUUGAAGAAAUACAUGGUCUUAAUAUACCACCUGUUGAAGAACCACAUUGUCUUGAUAACCCGACACAGGUAGUAAAGGUAAAUUCUCUCUAUAGAUAUGAUAAAGUUGAAAUCCCCUCUACUAAAUUUCAUAGCCCGUUCUUAGAUAAAUUUGAUGACUUUAUGGCUAGACAAGAAAGUUUUAAUGCUUAUGUUGGUAGAGAGUUAAAGAUUAAUACUUUCGAGAUAGGACAUGUAAGCGAUAAUCUGGCUAGAGUUAAAGAUGAACUCAAACUCGUUAGCAAAUAUGCUUCUAUGGUUGCUACUCAAGCUGAGCAAGUACUUAAGGCUCAAAAUGAUUUGCUUGAUGAAUUAAAUAAUAAAAAUUACUUUGCUGUUAGAGUGGCUACUAGAACUGGUAGAAUGACUCAGGAACUUUUGUAUCCUAAAGGCCACCCUAAAAGAAUUGAGCAAGAUUCUCAGAGAAACAAUUUAGAGGAUCCUAGUUCUUCUAAAAAGAAGAAAAAGAAAAACAAUAGAACUUUGCAUGCUUCUAGUGAACCUACUGUAGACACACCUGAGAAUCCCAAUGAUAUUUCUAUUUCUGAUGCUGAAACACAAUCUGGUGAUGAACAUGAACCUAGUGAUAAUGUCAAUGAUCAUGGUCAUGUUGAUGCUCAACCUAGCAAAAACAAUGAUGUAGAGAUUGAACCUGCUGUUGAUCUUGAUAACCCACAAUCAAAGAAUCAACAUUAUGAUAAGAGAGAUUUUGUCGCUAGGAUGCAUGGUAGAGAAAGAGAACCAUGGGUUCAGAAACCCAUGCCCUUUCCUCCUAAACCAUCCAAGUCAAAGGAUGAUGAGGAUUUUGAGCACUUUGCUGAAAUGAUCAGACCUAUUUUCUUACGUAUGCGCUUAACUGAUAUGCUGAGAGUAAAUCCUUAUGCUAGGUAUAUGAAGGAUAUCAUCACAAAUAAAAGAAAGAUACCGGAAGCUGAAAUUUCCACCAUGCUUGCUAAUUUCCAAAGAAACUUGGAGAUCCGGGUGUACCAACUAUACCAUGCUCCAUUAAAAGAAAUUAUAUUAGAACUGCUUUAUGUGAUCUUGAAGCCGGUGUUAGUGUUAUGCCUCUCUCUUUAUAUCAUAGACUUGAAUUGA